RNAcentral lists this ribosomal RNA (404 nucleotides) under Abyssarya acus. RNAcentral describes it as "partial 16S ribosomal RNA". The stretch from base 86 to 404 matches the Rfam family "Bacterial large subunit ribosomal RNA", at positions 2046 to 2597 of the family's 2925-position model. Lineage: Eukaryota; Metazoa; Annelida; Polychaeta; Phyllodocida; Polynoidae. The record is from RNAcentral.
GCAUAAUCAUUUGCCUUCUAAUUAGAGGAUAGUAUGAAUGGAUAAACGCAAUUUUUACUUUAUUAUUUUUACCUAUAAAACUUAAAUUCUACGUGCAGAUGCGUGGAUCCCAUUGAAAGACAAGAAGACCCUAUAGAGUUUUAGUUAACGGGGACCCCUAUAGUACCUAUAACUUUAGUUGGGGCGACUUAGGGUACCACAAAACACCCUAAAAUAUAAAGAGAUAUGCCUCUCUCAAUUUGAUCCAUAAAUAUGAACAAAAAAAUAAACUACCUUAGGGAUAACAGGCUAAUCUUCUUUUAGAGUCCAUAUCGACAAGAAGGUUUGGCACCUCGAUGUUGGCUUAGAGUCUCCUACUAUUGUAACAGAUAAUAAUGGAAAGUUUGUUCAACUUAUAAUACUCU